Molecule: long non-coding RNA, 294 nt
Organism: Colias croceus (clouded yellow)
Lineage: Eukaryota; Metazoa; Arthropoda; Insecta; Lepidoptera; Pieridae
Exons: 3
Source: RefSeq, a predicted model, not a curated record
AAAGCGCCCAACGAACGGGUGAGUUUAUACGUUCGCUAGCUAUGCAGAUACUGAGCCAUUCUGCGCACGCGCGGCCUGUGGGUAGAGAGCAUAGCGUACGGGAUGUGGAAAUAAUUCAGAAGAGAACUUAAUACAACGGUUCCGUGAGAUGGGAGAGGAUACGGAAGAUAGCUCUAAACCGUUGUUAGGCGAUUGGGAAGAAGAUUGCGCGACCAUAAUAUGACAUAAACGUCUUAUAAGGCUCUCCAGAGCCCAGAGGGUAAUGGGGAUUGCACGUCACUGCAUACAUCGUGC